UACGAAGGGGGCUAGCGUUGUUCGGAAUUACUGGGCGUAAAGCGUGCGCAGGCGGCUUUUCAAGUCAGGGGUGAAAGCCCAGAGCUCAACUCUGGAAUUGCCUUUGAGACUGAGUGGCUUGAGUACGAGAGAGGUGAGUGGAAUUCCCAGUGUAGAGGUGAAAUUCGUAGAUAUUGGGAAGAACACCGGUGGCGAAGGCGGCUCACUGGCUCGUAACUGACGCUCAUGCACGACAGCGUGGGGAUCAAACAGG
This 253-nucleotide ribosomal RNA is filed under the name uncultured bacterium. Its description in RNAcentral is "partial 16S ribosomal RNA". It matches the Rfam family "Bacterial small subunit ribosomal RNA", at positions 524 to 776 of the family's 1533-position model. The record is from RNAcentral.